RNAcentral lists this ribosomal RNA (119 nucleotides) under Lepisosteus oculatus (spotted gar). Lineage: Eukaryota; Metazoa; Chordata; Actinopteri; Semionotiformes; Lepisosteidae. The record is from RNAcentral.
GUAUGCAGCCAUAACACCCUGCAAUUCACAACUGGCAACCCACUGAAGCUAAGCGGGCGUGAGCCUGGUCAGUACCUGGAUGGGAGACCUCCUGGGAAUAACUAAGGUUGCUGCUGGAA